AAGAUUCACAAAAUCUAUUUUUCAACAUGUUUGACAUCAUGAUAGACGUGUGGUAUUUUGAUCAUAUCUAGAGUGUCAUAAGUCGGAAUGAUGUGGAAAUGGCGGAAAAUGAAAGCUAGCAUCAAUGACUACAACUUUCAUGAAGAUACCAAAGUAUAAUUCGGAUUUGUCUACCCAUGCGCGUAUCAACUUACUCAUACGCGUAUCAGGUCUGAAAAAGUGUGUGUUUCUUCUCAUUCACGUAUGGCCUAGCCCCAUACACCCCCAUAUGCGUAUGAGAGCCAAGAAUUAUAAAAAAAACUAGUUUAACGUAUUUAAA
RNAcentral lists this long non-coding RNA (319 nucleotides) under Lathyrus oleraceus (garden pea). RNAcentral's name for it is "Pisum sativum (pea) long non-coding RNA (PSAT_LNC013942)". Lineage: Eukaryota; Viridiplantae; Streptophyta; Magnoliopsida; Fabales; Fabaceae. The record is from RNAcentral.